UUUACCAACCAGAUGUGCAAAUAAUGCUCUCAUUUUUAUUUUGCAUUUCUUCUCAUUACAGGAAAGGGUGAGCAAUUUUUUAUGGCAUAUUCAUGUAGAGACUUUCAAUUAACCUGUUUUCAGCACCAUAUGUCAUGCCCAUCCUCUGCUGUAUUUGGUGUCUCGGAUCCUGGAGCCCUUCCAUAGUUUUACUGUGUGGUGUAGCUGAUGUGAAGCCUUCAAAUGCAGCAGCCCUUUUGCUACCAGGAAGGGAGUCAAAUUUAUGAUAAAGCUCACACUUUGGAAGACUGGAAGGAAAUUAGGUCCUUGGUGAUAUUGUUGAUUCAUGCAAUCGAACCAAUUGCAAAGCCCACUCAUCCCCUGGAAUUUGCAGUUGUAUGAACCAAUAAAUCGUCUUUAUUGUUUAA
Long non-coding RNA from Diceros bicornis minor, 407 nucleotides. RefSeq lists it as uncharacterized. NCBI's taxonomy places the organism in Eukaryota, Metazoa, Chordata, Mammalia, Perissodactyla, Rhinocerotidae. The record is from RefSeq and is a predicted model, not a curated record. The transcript has 2 exons.